This 75-nucleotide transfer RNA is filed under the name Actinomycetota bacterium. Its description in RNAcentral is "tRNA-Val". It matches the Rfam family "tRNA". Rfam says of the family: Transfer RNA (tRNA) molecules are approximately 80 nucleotides in length. Lineage: Bacteria; Bacillati; Actinomycetota. The record is from RNAcentral.
GGGCGCAUAGCUCAGCGGGAGAGCACUCGCCUUACAAGCGAGCGGUCGCAGGUUCGAAUCCUGCUGCGCCCACCA